CCAGGAUUAAUUUGAAGGACUUAUAUAGUAAUAUAGCUUUAUCAGUAUUAAAUAUCUCAAUGAUUUUAGGAUUUAACAUUUUUUUCUAGAGGUUAGUGAUGUAUAAACCAGGGCGAUUAACUCACUAACUGAAUAAAGUCCCUUGGUAAUGUUUGUGAGUUUGAAAAAUGUCUUUAAUCCUUAUAAUUCUUAAACCAAAUCUGAGAAUACUAUAACAGUUACACAUAUAUAUAUAUAUGUGUUAUAGUAGUCUCAGAACAAACAGGUG
This 268-nucleotide long non-coding RNA is filed under the name Mytilus galloprovincialis (Mediterranean mussel). Lineage: Eukaryota; Metazoa; Mollusca; Bivalvia; Mytilida; Mytilidae. The record is from RNAcentral.